Molecule: non-coding RNA, 315 nt
Filed under: Ruminiclostridium cellobioparum subsp. termitidis
Lineage: Bacteria; Bacillati; Bacillota; Clostridia; Eubacteriales; Oscillospiraceae
Description: Clostridium termitidis T-box sequence
Rfam family: T-box leader
About the family: Uncharged tRNA acts as the effector for transcription antitermination of genes in the T-box leader family. T-boxes are found upstream of many aminoacyl-tRNA synthetase genes and some amino acid biosynthetic genes usually in Gram-positive bacteria. The anticodon of a specific tRNA base pairs to a specifier sequence within the T-box motif, and the NCCA acceptor tail of the tRNA base pairs to a conserved bulge in the T-box antiterminator hairpin.
Source: RNAcentral
UUAAAAGUAAUGAUUGAGAAGGAGUAGGAAUAAAGUGACCUGACAGAGAGUUCCCGGAAGGUGAGAGGGGCGUGGAAGCAUAUUCCGAAUACAUCUUAUGAACUGCACACCAAAAGGAUUUGAUCCGAGUAGGCUGAUGCCGGAAGCUUGCACCCGUUAUAGUGCUAGAGUAUAUACCUUGUUUUUAUUUGGCCGCAUUAUUCCGCUGUUUAUUGAAUUGUGCUGCUGGCACAGGCAUUGUACUUGAAAAGGUUUGUGCCGUGAGGCACUAAUAAAUUGAGGUGGUAACACGGAGUAACAGCUCUCGUCCUCUGA